GUACUUGCUUCAGCAGCACAUAUGCUAAAAUUGGAAUGAUAGAAAUUAGCAUGGCCCCUGCUCAAGGAUGACAUGCAAAUUAAUGAAGCAUUGCCCAUUUUU
Mustela putorius furo (domestic ferret) is the source of this 102-nucleotide small nuclear RNA. The record is from Ensembl. Lineage: Eukaryota; Metazoa; Chordata; Mammalia; Carnivora; Mustelidae.